RNAcentral lists this ribosomal RNA (253 nucleotides) under uncultured bacterium. RNAcentral's name for it is "partial 16S ribosomal RNA". It matches the Rfam family "Bacterial small subunit ribosomal RNA", at positions 524 to 776 of the family's 1533-position model. The record is from RNAcentral.
UACGUAGGGUGCGAGCGUUGUCCGGAAUUAUUGGGCGUAAAGGGCGCGUAGGCGGCUAGAUGUGUCAAAGGUGAAAUCCCUCGGCUCAACUGAGGAACUGCCUUUGAAACUGUCUGGCUUGAGGCCGGGAGAGGGUAGCGGAAUUCCCAGUGUAGCGGUGAAAUGCGCAGAGAUCGGGAGGAACACCCGUAGCGAAGGCGGUUCUCUGGGCCGGUACUGACGCUGAGGAGCGAAAGCGUGGGGAGCAAACAGG